This 930-nucleotide ribosomal RNA is filed under the name Bacteroidales bacterium. Its description in RNAcentral is "partial 23S ribosomal RNA". It matches the Rfam family "Bacterial large subunit ribosomal RNA", at positions 1 to 942 of the family's 2925-position model. Lineage: Bacteria; Pseudomonadati; Bacteroidota; Bacteroidia; Bacteroidales. The record is from RNAcentral.
GUCGAAGUUAGUAAGAGCGAACGGAGGAUGCCUGGGCUUUUGGAGGCGAAGAAGGACGCGGCAAGCUGCGAAAAGCGACGGGGAUCUGCCAACAAGAAAUGAUCCGUCGAUGUCCGAAUGGGGCAACCCAUACAGUUGAAGACUGUAUACACUUUAUAAGUGAGCAAACGCAGAGAACUGAAACAUCUUAGUACCUGCAGGAAGAGAAAGAAAUUAUCGAUUUCCAAAGUAGUGGCGAGCGAAAUGGAAAUAGCCUAAACCGAUGUUGUUACGGCAAUAUCGGGGUUGUAGGAGUCAGUUAACGUUACAAUUUCACAAGUGGAAGAAUCUGGAAAGUUUCAUCGAAGAGGGUGAUAAUCCCGUACACGUAAAAUAAGUUGUAAUUAUUGACCACCUGAGUAGGGCGGGACACGAGGAAUCCUGUCUGAAUCUACGGGGCCCAUCCCGUAAGGCUAAAUACUCCCAAAAGACCGAUAGUGGACCAGUACCGGGAGGGAAAGGUGAAAAGAACCGUGAGCAACGGAGUGAAAAAGAACCUGAAACCGUUCGUUUACAAGCGGUCGGAGCAGCGUAAGCUGCGACGGCGUGCCUUUUGCAUAAUGAGCCUACGAGUUGUUGAUCAAUAGCGAGGUUAAGCACUUCAGGUGCGUAAGCCGAAGCGAGAGCGAGUCUUACAAGGGCGCAUAGUUAUUGGUCACAGACGCGAAACCUAGUGAUCUACCCUUGGCCAGGUUGAAGUAGCCGUGACAGGCUAUGGAGGACCGAACCGGUUUACGUUGAAAAGUAUUCGGAUGAGCUGAGGGUAGGGGUGAAAGGCUAAUCAAACUGGGAGAUAGCUCGUACUCCCCGAAAUGUCUUUAGGGACAGCCUCACAAGUGCUUAUCGGAGGUAGAGCGACUGAUAUGAUGCGAGGGCUUCACCGCCUAUCAA